This is an RNA transcript of Capra hircus (goat), 2514 nucleotides long. RefSeq lists it as uncharacterized. The record is from RefSeq and is a predicted model, not a curated record. Lineage: Eukaryota; Metazoa; Chordata; Mammalia; Artiodactyla; Bovidae. The transcript has 6 exons.
AGUCCGCUGACCGAACGACCCGCCUGUGCCUUGCACCGGAAGUGCUUGGCUCUGUGGCCGGCUGUUUCCCGGACGUGGUUUCCCGUCUUCUCUGCCCCGAGGCGGGGCCGGCUGUCCGUGUUAGGGCGGGCUCUAGGGGCCACCUUGCUGCGGGCCGUCCCUCGGUUUUUGCAAGCCAGCCUGUGAUUUGUUGUCCAUCAGCAUUAUUGGAGAGGCCGAACUACGGCUUUGGGCAGCGUUCGGUUCUUCAGGCCGCCUUAGGCUGUGUGGACGCGGGUUGUGUUAACCUUUCUGAGCUUCCCAGGUGACUUCUCUGCAAAACGGGGUGGCAGAAUGCGAGCUGGCGCUAGCUCGUGGAAGUUGGUGCUGCAGAGCCGGCCUGCAGCUGACCAGCCUCUUGUUUUCGUCAGCAGGCACCACUGGCCCUCGAUAGAUCUAAGCGUGGCGGCCCGCACUCGGCUGGCAUUUCCACCCAGUCAAAGGACCGGCGGCUCCUUCUGUCCCUGAACAAUGUCGUCCCUGUCUAAUCCUAACAGUCAAGCCUGGAGGAAUUGGUGGGCUUUGUGGUGGAAAGUGGCCCAGAUCCCCUUGUUGGAGGACAGUUUUAAUUCCCACCGAAGCUACAGAAGAGAAUCUGAAAAAUGCCAAGAGUGUCUCUAAGCGGGAGAGGGAGUGGGCGGGAGCUCACUUUGUUUCUGCCCCAUUUGAGAUUCCAGGGCCCUGGACUCUGCCCCAGGACACUUUCUGUAGGCAAGAGCGCGGGAUGUGAUGAGUAAGGAGGCGAUUUUGUUUUUCGUUCUUUUGAACAGCAGAUCAUGAAGACACCCUAACAACCUAUGGGUAGCACACCUGCCUUAUGCUGAAUUCUUGACUCCAUUAGGAUUUAGUGAAUGGAAGGGGGAGUGGGUAUAUCAGGAAAUGUAGAAGGACCACUGUUCAGUCUUUCAUCCUUCCACUGCCUUCUAACUCUCUGGUAGGGUGUGGUCUUUCCAAGAGAGCAUCCUCCAGGGAACUGGAAAGGAGGAAACCCAGGCCUCACAUCUCCUGAAGCAGAGUCUGCGUUUCAGCAGAAUCCCCAGAAUUUGCGCUGCAUGGUAAAGUUGGCAAAGGCCUGGCCUAACGCCUGGGGUGGUCUGGCUUAAAGUGAUGUGCUGGCAUCACAAAUGUAAGAAGAAAUAGGUCCGCAGAGCCAAAGUCUGUGGUGCCACAAAGGCAAAAUUUGGUGGUCAUGGUGGCCAACUAACUGUUUCGUGCAUUUGGGUCCUGCCAGCAGGUUGAGAAGAGGGCGACAGACGCCGAGAUGGUUGGAUGGCAUCAUCGAAGCACUGGACAUGAGUUUGAGCAAGCUCCAGGAGAUAGGGAAGGACAGGGAAGCCUGGCAUACUGCAGUCCGUGGCGUCACAGAGUCGGACACGGCUGAGCCACAACAACAACAACAAGCAAGUUGAUUCAGAAGACAGAUGAGAAAUGUGUCCCUGGGGCAGCAAGGCUGAACACCACGACUCGGAGAUCCUUUGUUAAAAGGGAAAAUGAGAUCAGCGGUUACCACACCUGCUGGCACUCUUCAGAGAGGAGAGACUCCCUUGGACAAGAGAGGCAGGCUGCCAAAGCCCACUGAACGUGCUUCUGAUACUCAGGAAAAGUUUGCUGACCUCCUGAAAGACCCUUAUGCUACUCAGGGUCUCCGUUUGACUGUCUCACCUGUGAAUUUCUCCGUGAUGGAUUCUAGUCCACCAUCUGUUUCCCAAAAUACCUUUUACCAGCUGCGUGUGGAAAGGAGAGUAUUUGAGCUGUGCCUGCCAUGACUCAAGAAGUGAGCUUUAAGUUUUAUUGAAUUGAGAGGGAAACCCAGCCCCAGCGACCUGCAGAAGGGAGUGGCUUUGACUUCCGUCCUGUUGAGUGGCGCGGGUCCAUCGGAAGCUGCAAGGACACCCCUAAGGUCCUCUGGCUCCGACAGGGUCUUCCUCCCCUCAACUCUCCGGACAAUUUCAUAUUCUGGGCACCUCCUCUUUGGACAAGGGCGUCUUGUGUCUUCCAGUCCAGCUGGAGAGCCUGGCAGGCAAACAGCACAGACCGUUCAGUCCCAGAGCGGCUUUACGUACGCACGGCCGAAGCCAAGGCCGAAGCGUGUUCGUCGUCCCGGACGUGCUGGUCCACAGGCAGCCUGGCGAGUUCAGACGCGACGACUAGGUACACGAAAGGAGGCAAGAGCUGUGCCAGACACAGGGCUGUCUUCUGGGCCUCGAUGCUCAGAUAAGAGGAGCCCUGGAGGUCUGCUUUUUUUAAAAAAAAUUUUUUUGGCUGCACCAUGUACCAUAUGGGAUCUCAAUUCCUUGACCACGGCUCGAACUCGCGUCCCCUGCAUUGGAAGCAGUCUCAACCACUGGACGGCCAGGUAAUGCCCCCAGAAACCCCCAGGGCUGCUUUUACAAAAACUGAGCACUCAUCCAGCCUCCGUUGCCCAAAGUAGAGAAAACAAAAGUCUCAUCUAAAGCCUGACCCACACUCAGUAGC